GUAAGUUCCAGUAAACACAGCUUGUUUUAACACGAGGAAAAGUGGUGAGAAAGUACAUUGUGGGUAAUCCUUGCAGUUUUAAUGACAAUAAGGCGCUCUAUCAAAACCACAUGCAGAAAUGUUGAAACAGCUGUAACCUGUUAAGACUCAGGGGUUGUUCUAAAGUGUCUGGAACUGGAUUGUUGGCGGGAGAUCUCUUGAUUAUUGUGAGUUGUGUCAGAGAGGUUUCAAGGAUCAGUUUACUUCUGGAGCAUCCCUCAAAUGCUUGAUUGAAUGUGGAGAUCUGGAGACCAAGGGGAGUUUUUCAAACUCUCAGUGCAGCAGGUAGCUACUGCCAUCAGGGAUGGAUAUUUGCAUGUGAGGUGUGCUUGGUCUGCAGGAGUCAUGGGUCUGAAGGUUAUGUCCACAUGAUUGUAGGGACCCAGCAUUUCCUAGAAUAACACUGCAUCGUAACUGAAUGACUCUUUUCCACUUUUCUUUUUUUUUUUAACUGAUCGGCAUAUACAUAAAGACCAUGAAGAACUGAGAAAUUAACUUUCGCUUUUUUCUAUCUUUAUAUUUUCUUCCAGGAGUCUCAGGUUCAGCAGCAUCUGCAGUAACACUUGGACCUCUUGUACUUGGGGAUGAUGAACUGGUGUACACUGUGGUUACUGGAGAUGGAGUUGUGGAGGAUCACAUGCUUGUAGGUCCUGCAGCAUCUUCGGGGGUUUCAGAUGUUGUUGCCAUGGCAGAGGUGGCAAUGGCCAAGCUGCGGACAGAAGGUGAAUCCUUAGCCACAGGAA
Astatotilapia calliptera (eastern happy) is the source of this 782-nucleotide long non-coding RNA. The record is from Ensembl. NCBI's taxonomy places the organism in Eukaryota, Metazoa, Chordata, Actinopteri, Cichliformes, Cichlidae.